This 1382-nucleotide ribosomal RNA is filed under the name uncultured bacterium. RNAcentral describes it as "bacterial SSU rRNA". It matches the Rfam family "Bacterial small subunit ribosomal RNA". The record is from RNAcentral.
GAGUUUGAUCCUGGCUCAGGAUGAACGCUAGCGGCAGGCCUAACACAUGCAAGUCGAGGGGUAACAGGGAUUAGCUUGCUAAUUUGCUGACGACCGGCGCACGGGUGCGUAACGCGUAUACAAUCUGCCUUAUACUGGGGUAUAGCCUUUAGAAAUGAAGAUUAAUCCCCCAUAGUCUCUACUUGUGGCAUCACAUAUAGAGUAAAGGUUACGGUAUAAGAUGAGUAUGCGUUCUAUUAGCUAGUAGGUAAGGUAACGGCUUACCUAGGCAACGAUAGAUAGGGGCCCUGAGAGGGGGAUCCCCCACACUGGUACUGAGACACGGACCAGACUCCUACGGGAGGCAGCAGUGAGGAAUAUUGGACAAUGGAGGCAACUCUGAUCCAGCCAUGCCGCGUGCAGGAAGACUGCCCUAUGGGUUGUAAACUGCUUUUAUAUAGGAAGAAACCUACUUACGUGUAAGUAGCUGACGGUACUAUAAGAAUAAGGAUCGGCUAACUCCGUGCCAGCAGCCGCGGUAAUACGGAGGAUCCAAGCGUUAUCCGGAAUCAUUGGGUUUAAAGGGUCCGUAGGUGGAUAAUUAAGUCAGAGGUGAAAUCUUGCAGCUCAACUGUAAAAUUGCCUUUGAUACUGGUUAUCUUGAGUUAUUAUGAAGUAGUUAGAAUAUGUAGUGUAGCGGUGAAAUGCAUAGAUAUUACACAGAAUACCGAUUGCGAAGGCAGAUCACUAAUAAUCAACUGACACUGAUGGACGAAAGCGUGGGUAGCGAACAGGAUUAGAUACCCUGGUAGUCCACGCCGUAAACGAUGGUCACUAGCUGUUUGGACUUCGGUCUGAGUGGCUAAGCGAAAGUGAUAAGUGACCCACCUGGGGAGUACGUUCGCAAGAAUGAAACUCAAAGGAAUUGACGGGGGCCCGCACAAGCGGUGGAGCAUGUGGUUUAAUUCGAUGAUACGCGAGGAACCUUACCAGGGCUUAAAUGUUAGGUGACAGAUCUAGAAAUAGAUUUUUCUUCGGACACUUAACAAGGUGCUGCAUGGUUGUCGUCAGCUCGUGCCGUGAGGUGUCAGGUUAAGUCCUAUAACGAGCGCAACCCCUGUUGUUAGUUGCCAGCGAGUAAUGUCGGGAACUCUAGCAAGACUGCCAGUGCAAACUGUGAGGAAGGUGGGGAUGACGUCAAAUCAUCACGGCCCUUACGUCCUGGGCUACACACGUGCUACAAUGGUAGGUACAGAGAGCAGCCAAUGCGCGAGCAUGAGCAAAUCUAUAAAACCUAUCUCAGUUCGGAUCGGAGUCUGCAACUCGACUCCGUGAAGCUGGAAUCGCUAGUAAUCGGAUAUCAGCCAUGAUCCGGUGAAUACGUUCCCGGGCCUUGUACACAC